AGUACGUGAAACUGCUUAGAGGUUAAGCCCGAUGAACCUGAAUAUCCAUUAUGGAAAAUUCAUCACUAAUACUAUGAUAUAUAAAAAAUAUUAUAGAAAUAGUGUGCAAUUUUUCCAUAUAAGGACAUUGUAAUCUGUUAAUGUCAUAAAUAUUUAUUAAAAGAUCUUAUACUUAAGUUUAUUCAAAUUAGUUAUUUUCGAAUUUCUAACAUAGAAUAAGUGUAUUUGAUUUAAUAAAUCAUUGACAGAUUUAAUUAUAAUAUAGUGCUUAAAUUUUGAAAGAAAUUUUACAAUAAUAUGACAAUUCAAUUUGAUUGUAUUUAUUGUAUGCGCUUAUAUGAUUAACAAUGCGAUAGAUUCAGGAUACCUUCGGGACCCGUCUUGAAACACGGACCAAGGAGUCUAACAUAUGUGCAAGUCAUUGGGUAUUUUUAAUAAAACCCAAUGGCAUAAUUAACUUAACUGUAAAAAAUGGGAUUAGUUUAUAUUUUAUUAUGAAAUAUUAAUUCAAUCCCGGGGCGUUCUAUAUAGUUAUGUAUAAUGAUAUUUAUAUUAUUUAUGCCUCUAACU
RNAcentral lists this ribosomal RNA (570 nucleotides) under Cheilosia posjetica. RNAcentral's name for it is "partial large subunit ribosomal RNA". The record is from RNAcentral. Lineage: Eukaryota; Metazoa; Arthropoda; Insecta; Diptera; Syrphidae.